UCUGAGCCUGCCCACAUGGCUGGCAGAGCUCCUGAGUUUUAGUUUGGCUGCAGGCACCGACUUUGGGAUGACCAUAGCAUUACUAAGAGAUUCCCUCACCCUCCUCUCCUCCUCCUCACACUCCCAUGGGAUGGAGUGCCCUGCCAGAAUUGUGGGCUGGAGAGCACAGGGAAGGGCACAGCACCGGCUGUGGGGCUCCCAUUUUAUGUAUACAUGGAAGUGUUCGAGUGGAUCUUAAGUUAUCCAUACAAGCAAAAUUAAGGGUGAAAUGGAGCAGAUCUCAUCUCUCUGCUGGAAGUGACAAAAGCUGGCCACAUUCUAUAAUCAUAGAUUAUGGGGGGUUGUACACCAUCUUGAAGUUAAAGCAUUCCCCAAGAGGACUUCAGGUAAGCUUGCUUUUGUAACUGAGAUGCUUGUUUGGUAAAAGCCCUGCUCUUAAUAAACAGAAAAUCCCACAUGACAAAGCACUGACUACAUGAAAAUCUGACAGAUGUGCCUUUUUGAAAGGCUUGCAAAGGGAAAUUGUGCAGCAACAGUUUUACAGUGAAAGAAACAAUUGAUGUCAGAUGCUGCAAGCUGUGGGGACUUAAAGAAUUCUCACAUCCCAGCUGUGCCACAUCAGCAGCUGCACCUGCACUCCCAGCAGUGGGGAGGACCCAGGGAUGGAGCAGCAGUGAGACACGGUCACACCCAGUGUCCCAUCCCAGCAGGCAGUGCCAGGACCCAGGGACAGCAUCCACUGCCAGGGCUGACUGUCCCCCAUCAGGAAUACAGCAUCUCUGCACCAGUCCAUGUCACAGACUUCUUUUAUGAAAAAUCCUUUCCUUAGGAUUUUUCCUCCUGAGAAGCUGAGAGGCCUCAGGAACAAAAUGCAAACAUUGAUUAUCUGCUGCUGUGGGAUGCAACAGGUGCAUCUGGGAUUGGUCUCAUCGUGUUGUUUUUAGUUAAUGGCCAAUCACAGUCAGCUGGCUCGGACUCUCUGUCUGAGACAGAAGCUUUUGUUAUCAUUCUUUUUUAUUCUUAGCUAGCCUUCUGAUGAAACCUUUUCUUCUAUUCUUUUAGUGUAAUUUUCAUGUAAUAUAUAUCAUAAAAUAAUAAAUCAAGCCUUCUGAAACAUGGAGUCAGAUCUUUGUCUCUUUCCUCAUCCAAGAGCCCCUGUGAACACUGUCACAAGUCCACCCAUCAGCAUACAUUCCAUCCCAGUUUUGCACAAGCAGAACACCCAAUUUCUACCCAAUUAGCCAUGGUUCAUGGAGUUUGUGGUGCCUCUGUGCAGGAGAACAGGCAAGCCAUGUUUCCAAGGGACACAGAGACAGGCAGCUCCUGAUGUGGCACAGAGCCUUCCAGGCAGACAAAAAUAUUCAACAAAUCUGAACCAGAAAAAAGUGAGUUUGCAUGGGUCAUUAGUGCCUUGCCUCACAGGGAUGGGAUGUCUUCUGAUGUGGUUCUCAGGAGCCUUGAAGCCACAGCCUGCAGCUCAGGGAAGGAGCAUGGCAAAGGACAGGAGGUGGCACAGGAUUCACCAUGUGACAAAGCAGCACGGCUGUCCUCGCUUCAUCCUGGAGGGCACAGCCUUGGAAUACAGGGAGGGGAGGACCACACACAUGAACAACCAAAUUUCAGCCCCUCCAACGUGCUUCCAGAAGAGCCUAAGAAACUUAAAACAGUGAAAAUAAUAUCAUUAAAAAAUACCCACAAGGUUGGAGAUCCCCAGAAUGGCAGGACAGUAAAACAUUUCUAAGCUGACCAAACCUCUGCAGUUAUGAUGGUUUCUGCAGGUGGCCAAAAGGACAAGAAUAAUCUGUUUCCCUUAACAGCCCCACCAGCCCAAGGACUCCUCCUCUGAAGGGACACUCAAGUGUGUGUGCUGAGGGAAGGGGCUUUGCCAGCUCUUGCCCUUUCAGGAGUAAAACAGGUGUCCUACAAGCACUGAGCCAGUGAUGGAAGAUGCAAGGACCCAACAGGUUUGUACCUCCCCAGUAGCCACCAUUUGUCAAGGAUGGGCACCCAGAGGAAAUGUUGUUGCAGACAUCUUUUUAUGAAAAUCCUUUCUUAGGAUUUUUUCCCUUCUGAGAAGCUGAGAGGCCUCAGAGACAAAAUGUGAACAUUGAUUACCUGCUGCUGUGGAAUGCAACAGGUACAUCUGUGAUUGGUCUCGUGUGGACGUUUGGAUUUAGUGACCAUUCACGGCAGAGCUGGCUCUCUCUCUCUGUCCGAGCCACAGACCUUUGCUUUCAUUCUUUUCCAUUCUAUUAUAUUCUUAGCUAGCCUUCUGAGAUGAAACUUUUCCUUCUAUUCUUUUUACUAUAGUUAUAAUGUAAUAUAUAUAUAAUAAAAUAAUAAAUCAAGCCUUCUGAA
Molecule: long non-coding RNA, 2358 nt
Organism: Melospiza melodia melodia
Lineage: Eukaryota; Metazoa; Chordata; Aves; Passeriformes; Passerellidae
Exons: 2
Source: RefSeq, a predicted model, not a curated record